GUACCGCGAUAGCUUAGCUGGUAGAGAAUCCGUCCGGUAAGCGGAAUGUUGCCGGUUUGAUUCUGGUUUUCAUACU
RNAcentral lists this transfer RNA (76 nucleotides) under Fasciola hepatica (liver fluke). RNAcentral's name for it is "tRNA-Thr". Lineage: Eukaryota; Metazoa; Platyhelminthes; Trematoda; Plagiorchiida; Fasciolidae. The record is from RNAcentral.